GCAAUCCUUCCUCCUUGGCCUCGCAAAGUCCUGGGAUUACAGGCGUGAGCUACUGGGCCUGACCUACAAAAUGUUUUAUGCUUUCGGCCUAAAUAGUGUUCCUUGGAGAGAAAAUUACCCUGGGAAUGAAUAAACAAGAGCAAUGCAAAUGUUUCUUUUACAUUAGAUUCUUGCAGCCCUGGAAAUCCUAAAUAAUAAUCAUGGCAAUACUACAUUUAUAAGACUAAAAGAUAGGAACUCAAGAAAAAUUUGGUCAUAGCAGUUGGUGAAAAAGUGAAUUUAAGAGAAGUGACAAAAAGAACUACUUGGGGUAAGACCUAUGAAGUAUCUUAAUAAUUUUCUUUAAAAUGUACAAUAGUAGUUACUUUAAAAGAGAGAGGAAUACCAAGGAGACUAGAAUAAUACAGAAAACCACAGGGCUCUCUGUAAUUCUGUAUCUCCAUGCAAGGGCCUGCAUUGUUUAUCACAGUAUCUACAGUUCCUAUCAAACAGGGUAAAUGUUUGAUGAACGAAUACCCUAAUCUAAGAGGCCUGGGCAUACUGCCAACUACCUAGAAAAUUCAGAGGGAAGAAGAAAAUUGUUAUAGAGAAACAGAGCUCAAGAAAUAUUAACAUCAUAUUUUCCUGAGAGAGAGAGAGUAAGCACAAAUGUAUCCCACUGCACCAUGUGGUAUAAGCUCAGGGGGUUACAUAAAGGAAA
Long non-coding RNA from Homo sapiens (human), 700 nucleotides. RefSeq lists it as uncharacterized. Lineage: Eukaryota; Metazoa; Chordata; Mammalia; Primates; Hominidae. The record is from RefSeq and is a predicted model, not a curated record. The transcript has 3 exons.